GAUGAAGACGCAGCGAAAUGCGAUAAGUAAUGUGAAUUGCAGAAUUCCGUGAAUCAUCGAAUCUUUGAACGCAAAUUGCGCCCCCUGGUAUUCCGGGGGGCAUGCCUGUCCGAGCGUCAUUGCAACCUUCAAGCGCGGCUUGUGUGUUGGGUCUCGUCCCCCGUGGACGGGCCCGAAAGGCAGUGGCGGCGUCCCGACAUGGUGCCCGAGCGUAUGGGAAUCCUCUUCCGCUCGAAUCGGCCCAUGCGGCGCUGGUCGUAACCAAAUUUUUUACCGGUUGACCUCGGAUCAGGUAGGGAUACCCGCUGAACUUAAGCAUAUCAAUAAGCGGAGGA
Molecule: unclassified non-coding RNA, 335 nt
Filed under: soil metagenome
Description: partial contains 5.8S ribosomal RNA, internal transcribed spacer 2, and large subunit ribosomal RNA
Rfam family: 5.8S ribosomal RNA (bases 1-119)
Source: RNAcentral